Molecule: ribosomal RNA, 487 nt
Filed under: uncultured bacterium
Lineage: Bacteria
Description: bacterial SSU rRNA
Rfam family: Bacterial small subunit ribosomal RNA
Source: RNAcentral
GACACGGCUGGCGGCGUGCCUAACACAUGCAAGUCGAACGGAGAUUAUUGAUGAAGCUUGCGAUUUAAUAAUCUUAGUGGCGGACGGGUGAGUAACGCGUGGGUAACCUGCCCAUAAGAGGGGGAUAACAGCUGGAAACGGCUGCUAAUACCGCAUACGCUUUCCGGGACACAAGUGCCGGAAAGGAAAGAUGGCCUCUACAUGUAAGCUAUCACUUAUGGAUGGACCCGCGUCUGAUUAGCUAGUUGGUGGGGUAGAAGCCUACCAAGGCGACGAUCAGUAGCCGGCCUGAGAGGGUGGACGGCCACACUGGGACUGAGACACGGCCCAGACUCCUACGGGAGGCAGCAGUGGGGAAUAUUGCGCAAUGGGGGGAACCCUGACGCAGCAACGCCGCGUGGAGGAAGAAGGUCUUCGGAUUGUAAACUCCUGUCUUCUGGGACGAAUAAUGACGGUACCAGAGGAGGAAGCCACGGCUAACUACGUG